GGAAUAUUGGACAAUGGGCGAAAGCCUGAUCCAGCCAUGCCGCGUGUGUGAAGAAGGUCUUCGGAUUGUAAAGCACUUUAAGUUGGGAGGAAGGGCAGUUACCUAAUACGUGAUUGUUUUGACGUUACCGACAGAAUAAGCACCGGCUAACUCUGUGCCAGCAGCCGCGGUAAUACAGAGGGUGCAAGCGUUAAUCGGAAUUACUGGGCGUAAAGCGCGCGUAGGUGGUUUGUUAAGUUGGAUGUGAAAUCCCCGGGCUCAACCUGGGAACUGCAUUCAAAACUGACUGACUAGAGUAUGGUAGAGGGUGGUGGAAUUUCCUGUGUAGCGGUGAAAUGCGUAGAUAUAGGAAGGAACACCAGUGGCGAAGGCGACCACCUGGACUAAUACUGACACUGAGGUGCGAAAGCGUGGGGAGCAAACAGGAUUAGAUACCCUUG
RNAcentral lists this ribosomal RNA (440 nucleotides) under uncultured Pseudomonas sp. RNAcentral's name for it is "bacterial SSU rRNA". It matches the Rfam family "Bacterial small subunit ribosomal RNA", at positions 358 to 790 of the family's 1533-position model. Lineage: Bacteria; Pseudomonadati; Pseudomonadota; Gammaproteobacteria; Pseudomonadales; Pseudomonadaceae. The record is from RNAcentral.